GACGAACGCUGGCGGCGUGCUUAACACAUGCAAGUCGAACGCGGAAGCUCAGCUUUUGUUGGGUGGAUGAGUGGCGAACGGGUGAGUAACACGUGAGUAACCUGCCCCCUUCUUUGGGAUAACGCCCGGAAACGGGUGCUAAUACUGGAUAUUCACUGGUCUUCGCAUGGGGGUUGGUGGAAAGGGGUGUUCUGGUGGGGGAUGGGCGCGCGGCCUAUCAGCUUGUUGGUGGGGUGAUGGCCUACCAAGGCUUUGACGGGUAGCCGGCCUGAGAGGGUGACCGGUCACAUUGGGACUGAGAUACGGCCCGGACUCCUACGGGAGGCAGCAGUGGGGAAUAUUGCCCAAUGGGCGCAAGCCUGAUGCAGCGACGCCGCGUGAGGGAUGGCGGCCUUCGGGUUGUGAACCUCUUUCGCUCAUGGUCAAGCCGCAACAAUGGUUGUGGUGAGGGUAGUGGGUAAAGAAGCGCCGGCUAACUACGUG
Molecule: ribosomal RNA, 483 nt
Filed under: uncultured bacterium
Lineage: Bacteria
Description: partial 16S ribosomal RNA
Rfam family: Bacterial small subunit ribosomal RNA
Source: RNAcentral